RNAcentral lists this long non-coding RNA (268 nucleotides) under Vulpes vulpes (red fox). Its description in RNAcentral is "lncRNA (ENSVVUG00000000848.1)". Lineage: Eukaryota; Metazoa; Chordata; Mammalia; Carnivora; Canidae. The record is from RNAcentral.
UCUCCACAUGCAUUUCUGGCCCUCUGGAAGCUUUUUCCUCAAAUUAUGGUCUUUGGAACAGCAGGUGAUUAUGAUCUGCAGAGAAAACAUGUGUUGCUAAUAAAGCAUCUUGCAUAUGAAAGCAUUCAGAUGACUCAGGCAACUACUUCAUGUUCCUGAGGCUCCUUUAAAGAAGUUUAAGGUGCCAAUCUAAAGACUAUGCAGAUCUAAUUCAGAAUGCAGAAGUUGCAGACAUAUCUCCUUUUUAAGCACACUGUGAGGAACUAUG